UCGCUGUGACGUGGGUGGUUCGCCGCCUACGAUGCUGCGAGAAAGUCAUUGAACCUUAUCAUUUAGAGGAAGGAGAAGUCGUAACAAGGUUUCCGUAGGUGAACCUGCGGAAGGAUCAUUGUCGAGACCCAAAUGAGAUCGAGCGAUUUGAUAACUUGUGAAUUAUUUUGGCAGCUCACAUCAGUUGCCGCGCACCGCUCCGUCUGUUGCAUGAAACACUCGGUGGGACCAUGCUAUAGGCGGAGGGGAGAUCAAUUGGGCGCAGCUUUGUGCCAAGGUAAAUUUGUAGCAUGAGCAGCGCCAACAACAUCUACGCAAGGUGCACUGUAUCUCGUGGAGUUGUUGCUGCGCUUUUUGAGAAUUGUAGGACUCUCGGCAAUGGAUAUCUUGGCUCUCGCAUCGAUGAAGAGCGCAGCGAAAUGCGAUACGUGGUGCGAAUUGCAGAAUCCCGUGAACCAUCGAGUAUUUGAACGCAAGUUGCGCCCGAGGCCAGCUGGCCGAGGGCACGUCCGCCUGGGCGUCAAGCAUUGAAUCGCCCCAUUGUACACCGCACCUUCGAUGCUGUGCGAUGGUGUUGUCUCGGGUGCGGAGAAUGGCCCGUCAUGUGUGAUGUGUGGCGGGCUGAAGAGCCGGAUGCUUUUUCUCUUGGCGACGAUCGAUUAAUGGGUGGGUAUGAUUUUGUCAUCGUCGGAUUGCUUUGAGAAAGCUGUACACAUCCUAGCCCCAAUAACCCAAGCCAUGUGCUGCAAGCAAAUGGAAAUGCGACCCCAGGAUGGGCGGGGUGACCCGCUGAGUUUAAGCAUAUCAAUAAGCGGAGGA
Molecule: ribosomal RNA, 819 nt
Rfam family: 5.8S ribosomal RNA (bases 368-523)